GUGGGUAUAGCUCAGUGGUAAAGUGCGUGCUUAGCAUGCAUGAGGCCCUGGGUUCAAUCCCUGGCACCUCCG
This 72-nucleotide transfer RNA is filed under the name Camelus bactrianus (Bactrian camel). It matches the Rfam family "tRNA". Rfam says of the family: Transfer RNA (tRNA) molecules are approximately 80 nucleotides in length. RNAcentral also lists the same sequence under 1 other name. The record is from Rfam by way of RNAcentral. Lineage: Eukaryota; Metazoa; Chordata; Mammalia; Artiodactyla; Camelidae.